CUUCUCCAAUUCAAGCUUUAAAAAAAUACAUUUUUCGUAAUACCGGUAUUAAAAAGUAGAAAUAUGAAGCUAACUACUGUAAAACUUAUAUUGGGGGUUGUCAUCUUCUGCAUUUUGGCAGAAAACAGUGCGUCGUUCCCAACGGAGGACGGUACGGAUUUUCAGAAAGAGGAAACAGCCCCCGGAAAUCGGACGAGACGGCGAGCGGAUUACGGGAGCAUUGACAACUUGCAGUACGCGUACGGGUGUCAGGACUACGGGUGUCACAAGGGUCGCUGCUGGGCGUGGUGCGGGGUUCGACCUGACGACCACAAGCAGUGGUGCUGGACGACGCGAGGAAACAUGUGGGACUUGCAGUAUGUCGGAUGCUCGUCCCACAAUGAUUGUGACGGAUGCUGGCAUUGUGCAGGGACGUGUUCGUUGUAGGAGAAUUUUCGAACGGAGGAAUAUUUGAAGGCUUCAUAAGCAAUUCAGAUUUGUAUUCCUCCAUUUGAUUAAGAGGUUUGCAUUUACUUAUUAAAGAUUUAUUACAGAUUAAUUUGUGACUGAUAUGGAUACCCUUCUGUUUUUUUAAGUGUUUAAUUAAGACGUAUACAUUACAUAUCUAUUGUUACAUAAAUUUCAUAUUUAAGUUAGUUGUUUUAACAUGGACAUUUUAGCUGAGCAAGUUAAUGUAUUUAAUCUCCAAUAUCGGUUUGACUUACAAUAGCACUAUAAUUUGCGGGCACAAUUUACCACGUCAACUCCAAGCAAAUAUACUGCGACGAGUUUGUAAUAAAUAAACUGUCAUCCUCUUCAUAUUUAAA
Folsomia candida is the source of this 806-nucleotide long non-coding RNA. RefSeq lists it as uncharacterized. The transcript is spliced from 2 exons. Lineage: Eukaryota; Metazoa; Arthropoda; Collembola; Entomobryomorpha; Isotomidae. The record is from RefSeq and is a predicted model, not a curated record.